CGUCCGCCGGCGGACCGGCGCACGGGUGAGUAACGCGUAUGCAACCUGCCCGUUUCAGCGGGAUAACCCGGAGAAAUCCGGCCUAAUACCGCAUGUGGCCGAGGGGAGGCAUCUUCUUUCGGCCAAAGGAGGCGACUCCGGAGACGGAUGGGCAUGCGUGACAUUAGCUAGUUGGCGGGGUAACGGCCCACCUAACCGACGAUGCGUAGGGGUUCUGAGAGGAAGGUCCCCCACACUGGUACUGAGACACGGACCAGACUCCUACGGAAGGCAGCAG
RNAcentral lists this ribosomal RNA (277 nucleotides) under uncultured bacterium. Its description in RNAcentral is "partial 16S ribosomal RNA". It matches the Rfam family "Bacterial small subunit ribosomal RNA", at positions 81 to 354 of the family's 1533-position model. The record is from RNAcentral.